GCAGGCCCCGGUCGGCGCCGCCGACGUCGUCCUCGACAAGGACGAGGUCGAUCGGGUCGUCACCGAACAGGUCGGCGGUUCGGCGCUGUUCGCCUCCC
RNAcentral lists this transfer RNA (98 nucleotides) under Streptomyces roseolilacinus. RNAcentral's name for it is "tRNA-Leu". The record is from RNAcentral. Lineage: Bacteria; Bacillati; Actinomycetota; Actinomycetes; Kitasatosporales; Streptomycetaceae.